AGAGACAGCAGCAGCCGCGGUAACACGUAGGUGGCAAGCGUUGUCCGGAAUUAUUGGGCGUAAAGGGCUCGCAGGCGGUUUCUUAAGUCUGAUGUGAAAGCCCCCGGCUCAACCGGGGAGGGUCAUUGGAAACUGGGAAACUUGAGUGCAGAAGAGGAGAGUGGAAUUCCACGUGUAGCGGUGAAAUGCGGAGAGAUGUGGAGGAACACCAGUGGCGAAGGCGACUCUCUGGUCUGUAACUGACGCUGAGGAGCGAAAGCGUGGGGAGCGAACAGGAUUAGAUACCCCUGUAGUCCCUGUCUCUUAUAA
This 309-nucleotide ribosomal RNA is filed under the name uncultured bacterium. Its description in RNAcentral is "partial 16S ribosomal RNA". It matches the Rfam family "Bacterial small subunit ribosomal RNA", at positions 504 to 809 of the family's 1533-position model. The record is from RNAcentral.